Molecule: ribosomal RNA, 512 nt
Filed under: uncultured Saccharomyces
Lineage: Eukaryota; Fungi; Ascomycota; Saccharomycetes; Saccharomycetales; Saccharomycetaceae
Description: eukaryotic LSU rRNA
Rfam family: Eukaryotic large subunit ribosomal RNA
Source: RNAcentral
AAACCAACCGGGAUUGCCUUAGUAACGGCGAGUGAAGCGGCAAAAAGCUCAAAUUCGAAAUCUGGUACCUUCGGUGCCCGAGUUGUAAUUUGGAGAGGGCAACUUUGGGGCCGUUCCUUGUCUAUGUUCCUUGGAACAGGACGUCAUAGAGGGUGAGAAUCCCGUGUGGCGAGGAGUGCGGUUCUUUGUAAAGUGCCUUCGAAGAGUCGAGUUGUUUGGGAAUGCAGCUCUAAGUGGGUGGUAAAUUCCAUCUAAAGCUAAAUAUUGGCGAGAGACCGAUAGCGAACAAGUACAGUGAUGGAAAGAUGAAAAGAACUUUGAAAAGAGAGUGAAAAAGUACGUGAAAUUGUUGAAAGGGAAGGGCAUUUGAUCAGACAUGGUGUUUUGUGCCCUCUGCUCCUUGUGGGUAGGGGAAUCUCGCAUUUCACUGGGCCAGCAUCAGUUUGUGGCAGGAUAAAUCCAUAGGAAUGUAGCUUGCCUCGGUAAGUAUUAUAGCCUGUGGGAAUACUGCC